UCGAACGGUAACAGGAAGCAGCUUGCUGCUUUGCUGACGAGUGGCGGACGGGUGAGUAAUGUCUGGGAAACUGCCUGAUGGAGGGGGAUAACUACUGGAAACGGUGGCUAAUACCGCAUAACGUCGCAAGACCAAAGAGGGGGACCUUCGGGCCUCUUGCCAUCAGAUGUGCCCAGAUGGGAUUAGCUUGUUGGUGAGGUAACGGCUCACCAAGGCGACGAUCCCUAGCUGGUCUGAGAGGAUGACCAGCCACACUGGAACUGAGACACGGUCCAGACUCCUACGGGAGGCAGCAGUGGGGAAUAUUGCACAAUGGGCGCAAGCCUGAUGCAGCCAUGCCGCGUGUAUGAAGAAGGCCUUCGGGUUGUAAAGUACUUUCAGCGGGGAGGAAGGUGUUGUGGUUAAUAACCGCAGCAAUUGACGUUACCCGCAGAAGAAGCACCGGCUAACUCCGUGCCAGCAGCCGCGGUAAUACGGAGGGUGCAAGCGUUAAUCGGAAUUACUGGGCGUAAAGCGCACGCAGGCGGUCUGUCAAGUCGGAUGUGAAAUCCCCGGGCUCAACCUGGGAACUGCAUUCGAAACUGGCAGGCUUGAGUCUUGUAGAGGGGGGUAGAAUUCCAGGUGUAGCGGUGAAAUGCGUAGAGAUCUGGAGGAAUACCGGUGGCGAAGGCGGCCCCCUGGACAAAGACUGACGCUCAGGUGCGAAAGCGUGGGGAGCAAACAGGAUUAGAUACCCUGGUAGUCCACGCCGUAAACGAUGUCUACUUGGAGGUUGUGCCCUUGAGGCGUGGCUUCCGGAGCUAACGCGUUAAGUAGACCGCCUGGGGAGUACGGCCGCAAGGUUAAAACUCAAAUGAAUUGACGGGGGCCCGCACAAGCGGUGGAGCAUGUGGUUUAAUUCGAUGCAACGCGAAGAACCUUACCUGGUCUUGACAUCCACAGAACUUUCCAGAGAUGGAUUGGUGCCUUCGGGAACUGUGAGACAGGUGCUGCAUGGCUGUCGUCAGCUCGUGUUGUGAAAUGUUGGGUUAAGUCCCGCAACGAGCGCAACCCUUAUCCUUUGUUGCCAGCGGUCCGGCCGGGAACUCAAAGGAGACUGCCAGUGAUAAACUGGAGGAAGGUGGGGAUGACGUCAAGUCAUCAUGGCCCUUACGACCAGGGCUACACACGUGCUACAAUGGCGCAUACAAAGAGAAGCGACCUCGCGAGAGCAAGCGGACCUCAUAAAGUGCGUCGUAGUCCGGAUUGGAGUCUGCAACUCGACUCCAUGAAGUCGGAAUCGCUAGUAAUCGUGGAUCAGAAUGCCACGGUGAAUACGUUCCCGGGCCUUGUACACACCGCCCGUCACACCAUGGGAGUGGGUUGCAAAAGAAGUAGGUAGCUUAACCUUCGGGAGGGCGCUUACCACUUUGUGAUUCAUGACUGGGGUGAAGUCGUAACAAGGUAACCGUAGGGGAACCUGCGGUUGGA
Molecule: ribosomal RNA, 1470 nt
Filed under: Salmonella enterica
Lineage: Bacteria; Pseudomonadati; Pseudomonadota; Gammaproteobacteria; Enterobacterales; Enterobacteriaceae
Description: bacterial SSU rRNA
Rfam family: Bacterial small subunit ribosomal RNA
Source: RNAcentral